GGGUGAAGUAUGGAAAAAUUGGGUUACCUGAUACAGAAAUAACAGCUAGGGACAUAAUGAUUGCAACUGGAUCUGUUCCUUUUGUUCCUAAUGGCAUUGAAGUUGAUGGGAAAACUGUAUUUACUAGUGAUCAUGCUCUCAAAUUAGAGUGGGUUCCAGAAUGGUUAGCAAUUGUUGGAAGUGGUUACAUAGGACUUGAGUUCAGUGAUGUGUACACAGCCCUUGGAAGUGAGGUCACUUUCAUUGAAGCUUUGGAUCAGCUUAUGCCGGGUUUUGAUCCUGAGAUAGGGAAGUUGGCCCAGAGAAUUCUCGUGAACCCCAGGAAAAUUGAUUAUCAUACUGGUGUAUUUGCAAAGAAGAUCACACCAGCAAAG
RNAcentral lists this unclassified non-coding RNA (374 nucleotides) under Hevea brasiliensis (rubber tree). The record is from RNAcentral. Lineage: Eukaryota; Viridiplantae; Streptophyta; Magnoliopsida; Malpighiales; Euphorbiaceae.